RNAcentral lists this transfer RNA (75 nucleotides) under Thiobacillus sp. RNAcentral describes it as "tRNA-Phe". It matches the Rfam family "tRNA". Rfam says of the family: Transfer RNA (tRNA) molecules are approximately 80 nucleotides in length. Lineage: Bacteria; Pseudomonadati; Pseudomonadota; Betaproteobacteria; Nitrosomonadales; Thiobacillaceae. The record is from RNAcentral.
GGCCAGUUAGCUCAGUUGGUAGAGCAGCGGAUUGAAAAUCCGCGUGUCCUGGUUCGAUUCCGAGACUGGCCACCA